GGGCAUACGGAUUAAAAGGGAAUCCGGUGAGAAUCCGGAACAGUCCCGCUGCUGUGAAACUCCUUUAACAUUCUAAUACUACUUUCGCCACUGGCUCAAGGUAGUCGGGAAGGCAUUAGGAUGGGAGCUAGUCAGAAGACCUGCCAUUCAUUUAAG
RNAcentral lists this non-coding RNA (156 nucleotides) under Parabacteroides distasonis. The record is from RNAcentral. Lineage: Bacteria; Pseudomonadati; Bacteroidota; Bacteroidia; Bacteroidales; Tannerellaceae.